Dendronephthya gigantea is the source of this 377-nucleotide long non-coding RNA. RefSeq lists it as uncharacterized. Lineage: Eukaryota; Metazoa; Cnidaria; Anthozoa; Malacalcyonacea; Nephtheidae. The transcript is spliced from 3 exons. The record is from RefSeq and is a predicted model, not a curated record.
AUAACCUACUUCACAAGGACUAAGCAAUACAAGUUAUACAACUUUCAUGGCGUGCGAUGCCCGAUGUUGUUAACGCUCAUAUUGAAAUGGAAUUGCAUUUUUUUGGAUAUCCAUUCCAUGGCCGGUAUAAUUGUUCCGAAUGUUGAUCUAUGUGUUCACUCUAUAUGGUUAAAUACGUGGUGGAAGGCAACCACGGGAGAGUAUAUAACGAAUAUGGAACGUAACAGGAUGGUUAAAGCCCUCUUCAGAGAAAAAGGAACAACGAUGCACAGGAAAUACAAAAUCUUCAUUUGAAAGAAUCAAAGAGACCGUCUUUGUUCCGGGCCAUGUAAGCGUAUGAGGAAAAAUGGAAAGUUAAACAAGUAUGGAACCGGGGG